This 348-nucleotide long non-coding RNA is filed under the name Mytilus galloprovincialis (Mediterranean mussel). Lineage: Eukaryota; Metazoa; Mollusca; Bivalvia; Mytilida; Mytilidae. The record is from RNAcentral.
AAUUAAAAUGUCAAUUGUUCUUGAACAAUUGAGAGGUCUUUCCUUUUGUAAUGUAAAAUACAUGUUCCAAUAGACGUAGAAUGUAUUGAAAAGUUCUUACACAGGUUAUGCCCCUUACAGAAAGGUCAAAUCUCUUCGGUCAAAUGUAAAAAAGUUGCGCCUCAUCCACCUCAACGUUUUUCACUAUUUACUAUUUCUGUAAGUACAAUCGUUUUUGAGAUAUCGACUAAAAAAUUGUAAGGUAAAGGUCAAGGUCAACCUUAAAAAGCUUUAAAACACACUGAAAAUCCUUUAAAUAAGGUCAAAAACACAUAAUUCGCUAUAUUGGACAUGACCUUGACCUUUGAC